RNAcentral lists this ribosomal RNA (253 nucleotides) under uncultured bacterium. Its description in RNAcentral is "partial 16S ribosomal RNA". It matches the Rfam family "Bacterial small subunit ribosomal RNA", at positions 524 to 776 of the family's 1533-position model. The record is from RNAcentral.
UACGUAGGUGGCAAGCGUUGUCCGGAAUUACUGGGUGUAAAGGGAGCGUAGGCGGGAAAUCAAGUUGGAUGUGAAAUACUCAGGCUCAACCUGGGGGCUGCAUCCAAAACUGAUUUUCUUGAGUGAAGUAGAGGCAGGCGGAAUUCCUAGUGUAGCGGUGAAAUGCGUAGAUAUUAGGAGGAACACCAGUGGCGAAGGCGGUCUGCUGGGCUUUAACUGACGCUGAGGCUCGAAAGCGUGGGGAGCAAACAGG